UGCUUUUCAGUAUUUAUUCUCUGCACAAGAAUUGUUUACUUUUACAUUAACUCAUAAAAUUGUACAUAAAUUUCACCAAAAUUCUAGAUAAAAAGUAAAUGACCAGAUGAGCUUCCAGCUAAUCCAGGGGAGGGCUGUCCUGUGAGUCCAGGAGGAGAUGAGCAGGCCCGAGGAGAACUACAGGAAAAGAGAGGGUGGGCAUGAAGAAUUUGCUAACAGUUUGGCAACAUUUUCUUUCCAUUCAGGUCAUUUCCUAUUCAGAGGAAAAUUUUCACCGGUUCCCUGGAAAUGGACUGAAAUCACAUUCUCCCGGACAAAUUUUGCUGGUAGACUUCAUACCCAUGCAAAACUAAUGUAAGUUGGACAGAUAGCCAUCUCAGUGUCUCUGCAAGGCAGAUUUUCCAGGAACCACGUUUUGUACUGUAAAGAAAGCCAGAGCCAGGUAUCUUUUAAAGAUAUUUAGACUCCCCUGUAACAGCUUGUGGGGUGGGAGGGAGAGAAGGUUCUUAACUAAGGUAAGAUCCCCCACACUGUGUAACAGAGGCAUGCUUCAGGGGUUUCCCUCCAUCCGGUUGUCAGCGUGGGAUACUGAGCUUUAAAGUUGCACAUCUAAAUUGGUGCUGAAAAGCAGAUGUCGUCAGUACGUUUAAAUGAUGCAGCCCUGUUUUAGGAGCGAUGUCCUACAAUCCAUUGACUUUUUAUAAGAAUUAGGUUCAUAAAGCCCGGGGAACUGAUCCAGGAACUGAUUUUGGUGGAAUCUAACAGCAUUGCUACCAUCGUAGGCAAGUAACUUCAAAAUCUAGGCCCUCAUAUUAUGAGAGGGGACAGGAUGUGGCUUCACAUUUGUUAAUUCCACAAAAUCCCGCAGUAGCACUGUAGAAAAGGGGGAAAAUUAGGUAACAUUUUGUGCACUAUUUUAAAAAUAACGUAUUAAUACCAUACCUAUACAAAGGGAUCUGACUACAGGGGAUUUGAAAAAGUACUUCAAUAAGAAAUAACUGAAUAAUCCACAGCUAAAUAAGACCUAACUGAAUAAUCCACAUAUACGAGACAAAUAAACACUCCCACAUGCCUCCA
This 1077-nucleotide long non-coding RNA is filed under the name Dromaius novaehollandiae (emu). Its description in RNAcentral is "lncRNA (ENSDNVG00000015899.1)". Lineage: Eukaryota; Metazoa; Chordata; Aves; Casuariiformes; Dromaiidae. The record is from RNAcentral.